GACGAACGCUGGCGGCGUGCCUAACACAUGCAAGUCGAACGGGGAAGUUAGCAAUAACUUUCUAGUGGCGAACGGGUGAGUAACGCGUAGACAACCAACCUUUUUGUGGGGGACAACACUUCGAAAGGAGUGCUAAUACCGCAUGAGCUCCAGAUGCCGCCUGGCGUUUGGAGGAAAGGAGCUUCACGGCUUCGCAAAAAGACGGGUCUGCGUCUGAUUAGCUAGUUGGAGGGGUAACGGCCCACCAAGGCGACGAUCAGUAGCCGGUCUGAGAGGAUGGACGGCCACACUGGGACUGAGACACGGCCCAGACUCCUACGGGAGGCAGCAGUGGGGAAUCUUCCGCAAUGGACGAAAGUCUGACGGAGCGACGCCGCGUGAGUGAUGAAGGCCCUUGGGUCGUAAAGCUCUGUCAUCAGGGACGAACGGUCACGUCAGGAAAUGGGCGUGAAUUGACGGUACCUGAGAAGGAAGCCACGGCUAACUACGUGCCAGCAGCCGCGGUAAU
Molecule: ribosomal RNA, 508 nt
Filed under: uncultured bacterium
Lineage: Bacteria
Description: bacterial SSU rRNA
Rfam family: Bacterial small subunit ribosomal RNA
Source: RNAcentral